UUNCACACAUGUUAAGUAAGCCAGGUUCAGC
Molecule: non-coding RNA, 31 nt
Filed under: Mus musculus (house mouse)
Lineage: Eukaryota; Metazoa; Chordata; Mammalia; Rodentia; Muridae
Source: RNAcentral